This 253-nucleotide ribosomal RNA is filed under the name uncultured bacterium. Its description in RNAcentral is "partial 16S ribosomal RNA". It matches the Rfam family "Bacterial small subunit ribosomal RNA", at positions 524 to 776 of the family's 1533-position model. The record is from RNAcentral.
UACGUAGGGUGCGAGCGUUAAUCGGAAUUACUGGGCGUAAAGCGUGCGCAGGCGGUUUUGUAAGCCAGAUGUGAAAUCCCCGGGCUUAACCUUGGAAUGGCAUUUGGGACUGCAAGGCUGGAGUGCGGCAGAGGAGACUGGAAUUCCUGGUGUAGCAGUGAAAUGCGUAGAUAUCGGGAGGAACACCAGUGGCGAAGGCGAGUCUCUGGGAUGAUGCUGACGCUGAGGCGCGAAAGCCAGGGGAGCAAACGGG